Molecule: ribosomal RNA, 685 nt
Filed under: Bacillus sp. GMQC1
Lineage: Bacteria; Bacillati; Bacillota; Bacilli; Caryophanales; Bacillaceae
Description: bacterial SSU rRNA
Rfam family: Bacterial small subunit ribosomal RNA
Source: RNAcentral
GUCCACGCCGUAAACGAUGAGUGCUAAGUGUUAGAGGGUUUCCGCCCUUUAGUGCUGCAGCAAACGCAUUAAGCACUCCGCCUGGGGAGUACGGUCGCAAGACUGAAACUCAAAGGAAUUGACGGGGGCCCGCACAAGCGGUGGAGCAUGUGGUUUAAUCCGAAGCAACGCGAAGAACCUUACCAGGUCUUGACAUCCUCUGACAACCCUAGAGAUAGGGCUUCCCCUUCGGGGGCAGAGUGACAGGUGGUGCAUGGUUGUCGUCAGCUCGUGUCGUGAGAUGUUGGGUUAAGUCCCGCAACGAGCGCAACCCUUGAUCUUAGUUGCCAGCAUUCAGUUGGGCACUCUAAGGUGACUGCCGGUGACAAACCGGAGGAAGGUGGGGAUGACGUCAAAUCAUCAUGCCCCUUAUGACCUGGGCUACACACGUGCUACAAUGGGCAGAACAAAGGGCAGCGAAGCCGCGAGGCUAAGCCAAUCCCACAAAUCUGUUCUCAGUUCGGAUCGCAGUCUGCAACUCGACUGCGUGAAGCUGGAAUCGCUAGUAAUCGCGGAUCAGCAUGCCGCGGUGAAUACGUUCCCGGGCCUUGUACACACCGCCCGUCACACCACGAGAGUUUGUAACACCCGAAGUCGGUGAGGUAACCUUUUGGAGCCAGCCGCCGAAGGUGGGACAGAUGAUUGG